ACCACAAUAAGACUAAAAUUCCCUUUCCCGCUCAAGAAAAUUUUGGCUCCAAGAUUUUAGGGGCGACUUAUACUACAUCACUACUAAAUGGUUAUUGUGGAGACUAAGUCGCUACUAAAAGUACUUUUAAAAAAUGAAAAAAAUAAAAAACGGAAAGACUCCAAAAAGAAUAAAAAGGAAAAAACGCACAAAACUUUUAUUUUGGUCAAUAUUGCAUCCACUUUCCUCCCAAUUUUCCCUCUUUAUAACCCUAAUCCAUAUCGAAAAUUCAAGAAUCCAACAACGAUUUCCUUCCAAUUUGUCAUUUCCGUUGAAGAAAUCAUGUCUUCAACCUGAACCUGAUGUUCCUUCUCUCUGCACACUAUAUUUGGGGUGAUGUUGAAUCACAAAGCAUUAAUUAUAUUGAUGCAAGUGAACAGGCUCAGAAAAGUGUGCAUAUUCAGGAAGAUGAUUUCAUUAAUGACAAUCAUAUAGAUAUGUGAUAUGUCCGAGAAUGAAGAAAACGAAGAAUAGGCAUUGACAUAGAAGACAAUGAUAUGGAGUGACCAAAGAAAUAGCUUUGAAUCGAGUUACAAUCAUCCCGAAUUUUAACAGAAAGUGCACAUCCCAUCCGAAGACUAAAAUAAGUGGUUCAGAGCUGCUAUCCGAAGGAGAUGAAAUCCAUCCUAUUGCUAGUCACCUCACUUCUGGUGCUUCCCUGUCAGAAAUGGACAAAUUUGCUCGUUAAUGGAAAUUGUUCAACAAGGAGGAGUCUGAAGAUGCUUUGUGAUUCUUUCUUUUCAUGUGUAAAUACCAUGUUGAUGAAUUUAUGAAGUGUUUACUCUAUAUUAUGGCAUUUAAGUAAUAAGAAGUUCUUAUGCUACUCUUGUUGA
RNA transcript from Lycium barbarum (goji berry), 872 nucleotides. RefSeq lists it as uncharacterized. NCBI's taxonomy places the organism in Eukaryota, Viridiplantae, Streptophyta, Magnoliopsida, Solanales, Solanaceae. The transcript is spliced from 4 exons. The record is from RefSeq and is a predicted model, not a curated record.